This 446-nucleotide ribosomal RNA is filed under the name uncultured bacterium. RNAcentral describes it as "partial 16S ribosomal RNA". It matches the Rfam family "Bacterial small subunit ribosomal RNA", at positions 338 to 795 of the family's 1533-position model. The record is from RNAcentral.
CCUACGGGUGGCAGCAGUCGAGAAUCAUUCACAAUGGGGGAAACCCUGAUGGUGCGACGCCGCGUGGGGGAAUGAAGGUCUUCGGAUUGUAAACCCCUGUCAUGUGGGAGCAAAUUAAAAAGAUAGUACCACAAGAGGAAGAGACGGCUAACUCUGUGCCAGCAGCCGCGGGAAUACAGAGGUCUCAAGCGUUGUUCGGAAUCACUGGGCGUAAAGCGUGCGUAGGCUGUUUCGUAAGUCGUGUGUGAAAGGCGCGGGCUCAACCCGCGGACGGCACAUGAGACUGCGAGACUAGAGUAAUGGAGGGGGAAGCGGAAUUCUCGGUGUAGCAGUGAAAUGCGUAGAUAUUGAGAGGAACACGAGUGGCGAAGGCGGGUUCCUGGACAUUAACUGACGCUGAGGCACGAAGGCCAGGGGAGCGAAAGGGAUUAGAUACCCCUGUAGUC